AGAAAGAGCAAGAAUAUUAAAAAGCUACUUUGUUCUUUCCUAGGCAAAAAGAAAAUAUACAGUGGAAAUUUGACAGUAAACAGGUUAAGAUUAAGAACAAGAAGACAAUAAGUAGGAUAAGAUUAAGAACAAGAAGAUAAUGAAAAAAUAUGGAAGUUAUGAAAAAGGCUGCCAGUAUGACACCCUGUAAUAAAUUAUUCAUAAUCACAGCUGCUAGGAGCUCCCAGGGAACUGCCAAGCUGAGCUGCUUAAGCAUUAUACCACACUGACCACCCUGAAGUACCAGAUCACAGCCAAGAAAGGAAAGAUGGUAACUCUAUGUACAUAAAAUAGGGUGAGUUACAGGCAUAUGCUGAUUGAGUACGUUUCAGGAAUUAAGAA
This 381-nucleotide long non-coding RNA is filed under the name Homo sapiens (human). RNAcentral describes it as "HSALNT0086548". The record is from RNAcentral. Lineage: Eukaryota; Metazoa; Chordata; Mammalia; Primates; Hominidae.